This 428-nucleotide ribosomal RNA is filed under the name uncultured bacterium. RNAcentral describes it as "partial 16S ribosomal RNA". It matches the Rfam family "Bacterial small subunit ribosomal RNA", at positions 354 to 796 of the family's 1533-position model. The record is from RNAcentral.
GUGGGGAAUAUUGGGCAAUGGGGGAAACCCUGACCCAGCAACGCCGCGUGAAGGAAGAAGGCUUUCGGGUUGUAAACUUCUUUGACCAGGGACGAAACAAAUGACGGUACCUGGAAAACAAGCCACGGCUAACUACGUGCCAGCAGCCGCGGUAAUACGUAGGUGGCGAGCGUUGUCCGGAUUUACUGGGUGUAAAGGGCGCGUAGGCGGACUGGCAAGUCAGAUGUGAAAUACAGGGGCUCAACCCCUGAACUGCAUUUGAAACUGUUGGUCUUGAGUAUCGGAGAGGCAAGCGGAAUUCCUAGUGUAGCGGUGAAAUGCGUAGAUAUUAGGAGGAACACCAGUGGCGAAGGCGGCUUGCUGGACGACAACUGACGCUGAGGCGCGAAAGCGUGGGGAGCAAACAGGAUUAGAUACCCUGGUAGUCC